CCUACGGGAGGCAGCAGUAGGGAAUCUUGCGCAAUGGGCGAAAGCCUGACGCAGCCAUGCCGCGUGAAUGAUGAAGGUCUUAGGAUUGUAAAAUUCUUUCACCGGGGACGAUAAUGACGGUACCCGGAGAAGAAGCCCCGGCUAACUUCGUGCCAGCAGCCGCGGUAAUACGAAGGGGGCUAGCGUUGCUCGGAAUUACUGGGCGUAAAGGGAGCGUAGGCGGAUAGUUUAGUCAGAGGUGAAAGCCCAGGGCUCAACCUUGGAACUGCCUUUGAUACUGGCUAUCUUGAGUACGGGAGAGGUGUGUGGAACUCCGAGUGUAGAGGUGAAAUUCGUAGAUAUUCGGAAGAACACCAGUGGCGAAGGCGACACACUGGCCCGUUACUGACGCUGAGGCUCGAAAGCGUGGGGAGCAAACAGGAUUAGAUACCCUGGUAGUCCACGCCGUAAACGAUGAGUGCUAGUUGUCGGCAUGCAUGCAUGUCGGUGACGCAGCUACGACAUAAGACACUCCGCCGUCGGGGAGGUACGGUCGCGAAGAAUUAAAACUUAAAAUUAAGUAAGUUAGUACGGACGUGAGACGUGCCGACGGACGACGACGAGGGAGGAGG
RNAcentral lists this ribosomal RNA (611 nucleotides) under uncultured bacterium. RNAcentral's name for it is "bacterial SSU rRNA". The stretch from base 1 to 517 matches the Rfam family "Bacterial small subunit ribosomal RNA", at positions 338 to 873 of the family's 1533-position model. The record is from RNAcentral.